GGCCUCUAACCUCUCACCCCUAUAUUAAUUCCGACCCCUUAAGUUUUAAAUAGACUUAACUCCAAAUACUGUAAAGGAACAAAAACCCCCAUUAUAAAACACACUUCUACCUUUGGUAUCAGGGGGGUUUAAUCUACUCCUAAAGUUGGAAUUCCCGAAAUAAGUAGAGCUAUCUAACAGGGCCCUUAUAUGUGAUAAAAUAUACCUUAACUCUUAGAUAGAGGCGAUAUACCAACAAUUCUUAUAUAUCUGGUUAUAGCUUAUGCCGGUCUAGCCAGUCUUUUAUAUUAACUAUUAUGUAAAUAUUAACCCCAAAGGGUAAAACCAAGGGCUUAAAGUAGAAUCUAUUGUCAACAAAGAGUAAAGCUUAGACCUUACCCGCCUCUACGGCCUUACCUCCUCUUAACUUAGGCUUAACUAAAACUACUUAACCUGUCUUAAAAUAAACCCACCAGUAACACUAUUUAUCAAACCAAUGUAAUCGUAUUAUAUUCGCUAACAAUACCGCUAACGAACUCGGCAAACAUCACCCUCGCCUGUUUAACAAAAACACCGUUUACUUAAUUUAUAGUAGAUAGAGUCUGCCCACUGUAAAUUUAUAAAAGGCCGCGGUAUCGCUGACCGUGCUAAGGUAGCAUAAUCACUCGUCUCUUAAUAGAAGACUCGUAUAAACGACCUGACGGAAGGUGAGCUGUCUCAGCUGUAUACCUGAAUCUGACAUAGAGGUAAAAAGGCCUCUGCCGCCAAGGGGACGAUCAGACCCUAAAAACUUUAUCUACUUAAGCCCCGUUAUUCUUCACCUUAAAUGGGAUUAUAUAGAUUUUGCUGGGGCGGCAUUUUUUAACAUAAAAACAAACCCACCUAAAACACCAUGUGUGACUCUAAUAACACAUUCUUAAGACUAAAGACCAGUUACUUUAGGGAUAACAGCGCAACCCCUUCUAGAGCCCCUAUCGACAAGCAGGUAAGCGACCUCGAUGUUGAAUUGAGACUCCCUAUUGAGCAGCCUCAAUAAAGGACAGGACUGUUCGUCCUAAAACCCUCACAUGAUUUGAGUUCAAACCGGCGUAAGCCAGGUUGGUUUCUAUCUCUUGGUAAAAACAUGCCUUAGUUUGUACGAAAGGACUCCUAAGGAGUAGAAAUCUACUACCACUUAGAAUACAAUACUUCCUUCUUUUACU
Molecule: ribosomal RNA, 1181 nt
Filed under: Bathynomus sp. YS-2016
Lineage: Eukaryota; Metazoa; Arthropoda; Malacostraca; Isopoda; Cirolanidae
Description: large subunit ribosomal RNA
Rfam family: Archaeal large subunit ribosomal RNA (bases 744-1095)
Source: RNAcentral